This 504-nucleotide ribosomal RNA is filed under the name uncultured fungus. RNAcentral's name for it is "SSU rRNA". It matches the Rfam family "Eukaryotic small subunit ribosomal RNA", at positions 248 to 755 of the family's 1831-position model. Lineage: Eukaryota; Fungi. The record is from RNAcentral.
GAUUCAUGAUAACUCGUCGAAUCGCACGGCCUUGCGCCGGCGAUGGUUCAUUCAAAUUUCUUCCCUAUCAACUUUCGAUGUUUGGGUAGUGGCCAAACAUGGUGGCAACGGGUAACGGAGGGUUAGGGCUCGACCCCGGAGAAGGAGCCUGAAAAACGGCUACUACAUCCAAGGAAGGCAGCAGGCGCGCAAAUUACCCAAUCCCGAUACGGGGAGGUAGUGACAAUAAAUACUGAUACAGGGCUCUUUUGGGUCUUGUAAUUGGAAUGAGUACAAUUUAAAUCCCUUAACGAGGAACAAUUGGAGGGCAAGUCUGGUGCCAGCAGCCGCGGUAAUUCCAGCUCCAAUAGCGUAUAUUAAAGUUGUUGUGGUUAAAAAGCUCGUAGUUGAAUCUUGGGCCUGGGUGGCCGGUCCGCCUCACCGCGUGUACUGGUCCGGCCGGGUCUUUCACUCUGCGGAACCACAUGCCCUUCAGUGGGUGUGGCGGGGAACCAGGACUUUUAC